RNAcentral lists this ribosomal RNA (405 nucleotides) under uncultured Lachnospiraceae bacterium. RNAcentral's name for it is "bacterial SSU rRNA". It matches the Rfam family "Bacterial small subunit ribosomal RNA", at positions 978 to 1382 of the family's 1533-position model. Lineage: Bacteria; Bacillati; Bacillota; Clostridia; Lachnospirales; Lachnospiraceae. The record is from RNAcentral.
GGCUUGACAUGCCGCUGACCGGUUUAGAGAUAGACUCUUACCUUCGGGGUACAGCGGACACAGGUGGUGCAUGGUUGUCGUCAGCUCGUGUCGUGAGAUGUUGGGUUAAGUCCCGCAACGAGCGCAACCCUUGCUUUAGUUGCCAUCAUUAAGUUGGGCACUCUAAAGAGACUGCCGAUGACAAAUCGGAGGAAGGUGGGGAUGACGUCAAGUCCUCAUGGCCCUUACAUCCCGGGCUACACACGUGCUACAAUGGCAGGUACAGAGGGCUGCGAAGCCGCGAGGUGGAGCGAAUCCCAGAAAACCUGUCUCAGUCCGGAUUGAAGUCUGCAACUCGACUUCAUGAAGGCGGAAUCGCUAGUAACCGCGAAUCAGCAGGUCGCGGUGAAUACGUUCCCGGGCCUU